This 363-nucleotide ribosomal RNA is filed under the name uncultured eukaryote. RNAcentral describes it as "partial 18S ribosomal RNA". It matches the Rfam family "Eukaryotic small subunit ribosomal RNA", at positions 592 to 976 of the family's 1831-position model. The record is from RNAcentral.
CAAUAGCGUAUACUAAAGUUGUUGCAGUUAAAAAGCUCGUAGUCGAACGUGUGGUGUGUGUGCGGGUCCGUCGGUGGGUGAAUGCCUGUCGAGCAGUGACUCGUGCACUGCCAGUCUGGCAAGUUGAGAGACUUGCCUCUUUCACUGUAAAAAAUUAGGGUGUUUCAAGCAAAGGUUGAUAUUGGAAUAUGAUAGUAUGGGAUGAUGAGAUAGGCCGUUGGCGGUAUUUUGUUGGUUUGCGCGUUGGCGGAAUGAUGAAGAGGGACAGUUGGGGGUAUUCGAAUUCUAGUGUCAGAGGUGAAAUUCUUGGAUUACUAGAAGGCGAACGACUGCGAAAGCAUUUACCAAGGAUGUUUUCAUUGA